Molecule: ribosomal RNA, 253 nt
Filed under: uncultured bacterium
Lineage: Bacteria
Description: partial 16S ribosomal RNA
Rfam family: Bacterial small subunit ribosomal RNA
Source: RNAcentral
UACGAGGGGUGCUAACGUUAUUCGGAUUUAUUGGGCGUAAAGGGUGCGUAGGUGGCAAUGUAAGUCUGUCGUUAAGUUUUCCGGCCUAACUGGAAGCAUGCGAUAAAUACUGCUUUGCUAGAGGGUGGAAGAGAGAAGUGGAAUUCUUGGAGUAGCGGUAAAAUGCGUAGAUCUCAAGAGGAACACCAAUGGCGAAGGCAGCUUCUUGGGCCAAUCCUGACACUGAGGCACGAAAGCGUGGGGAGCAAACAGG